Molecule: ribosomal RNA, 491 nt
Filed under: uncultured bacterium
Lineage: Bacteria
Description: partial 16S ribosomal RNA
Rfam family: Bacterial small subunit ribosomal RNA
Source: RNAcentral
AGUGAACGCUGGCGGUAGGCCUAACACAUGCAAGUCGAACGGCAGCACAGUAAGAGCUUGCUCUUACGGGUGGCGAGUGGCGGACGGGUGAGGAAUACAUCGGAAUCUACUUUUUCGUGGGGGAUAACGUAGGGAAACUUACGCUAAUACCGCAUACGACCUACGGGUGAAAGCAGGGGAUCAUCGGACCUUGCGCGAUUGAAUGAGCCGAUGUCGGAUUAGCUAGUUGGCGGGGUAAAGGCCCACCAAGGCGACGAUCCGUAGCUGGUCUGAGAGGAUGAUCAGCCACACUGGAACUGAGACACGGUCCAGACUCCUACGGGAGGCAGCAGUGGGGAAUAUUGGACAAUGGGCGCAAGCCUGAUCCAGCCAUACCGCGUGGGUGAAGAAGGCCUUCGGGUUGUAAAGCCCUUUUGUUGGGAAAGAAAAGCAGCAGGUUAAUACCCCGCUGUUCUGACGGUACCCAAAGAAUAAGCACCGGCUAACUUCGU